UUAUUACAGAGUUUUUGAUGUCGCAGGUACUGCAUCAGGAAAUGACUGGAUAAAUAUCUGUCACCAUCAGCUCUAAUGCAUUGCCUUCAGCAUCUAAACAA
RNAcentral lists this microRNA precursor (101 nucleotides) under Procavia capensis (Cape rock hyrax). RNAcentral describes it as "microRNA 217 (ENSPCAG00000019851.1)". It matches the Rfam family "mir-217 microRNA precursor family". The record is from RNAcentral. Lineage: Eukaryota; Metazoa; Chordata; Mammalia; Hyracoidea; Procaviidae.